GAAUGUAGCUAGGAAGUCAGAGUUGCCUUAAUUUUUCCCCUCUUUGUCUAAAAUGGUCUUGGCAUCUUCCCGUCUCCCCACUUGCUUUCCCCACAAGAGCAGGGGGUAAAACAAGAAACUGCCAGUUUCAUCACCCUUCCAGUGCUUGAGUUUCUGGCUCAAUCCUGACAUUUAUAUCAGCCAAAUUUUCUGCAACAUAGACACUGUGCAGUGACUCAAAGAGCCUGCCAGGAAUCAGAUGCUUAAUGGACGUGGCCUUCUAAUGAAGAAGAAGGAAAAUUAAAAUCAAAGGAUUGACAUAUGUUCUCAUCCAUGCUGGAGAAACUCUUGUAUGCCGAGCACUUCUCAGACAGAUGUCAGGGCAUCCAGAGAACUACUUCAAGACCACUUCCAAUCGACACUAAUACCAUGCUGAAGCAUCAGAUCAAUACUGGCUGGGAUGCUGAACCCUUCCCCUUGAAUCCGCAGCCUCAUGUCAAUUGGCUCUUUACUAAAGGAUGGAGAUGCUUCCUGGAGCUUGGAGAAAAUAUCCUUAUCUUUACCCUUUCAAGUCUCUGUCCCCAUGACCCAGCCAUUCUUUU
Molecule: long non-coding RNA, 581 nt
Filed under: Crocodylus porosus (Australian saltwater crocodile)
Lineage: Eukaryota; Metazoa; Chordata; Crocodylia; Crocodylidae
Description: lncRNA (ENSCPRG00005018055.1)
Source: RNAcentral